RNAcentral lists this ribosomal RNA (884 nucleotides) under Salegentibacter sp. Hel_I_6. RNAcentral describes it as "bacterial SSU rRNA". It matches the Rfam family "Bacterial small subunit ribosomal RNA", at positions 135 to 1015 of the family's 1533-position model. Lineage: Bacteria; Pseudomonadati; Bacteroidota; Flavobacteriia; Flavobacteriales; Flavobacteriaceae. The record is from RNAcentral.
AGCGGGGAAUAGCCCAGGGAAACUUGGAUUAAUGCCCCAUAGUAUGGAGGUCUCACCUGAGACCAUCAUUAAACAUUUAUGGCUAUUAGAUGGGUAUGCGUCCUAUUAGUUAGUUGGUAAGGUAACGGCUUACCAAGGCAGCGAUAGGUAGGGGUCCUGAGAGGGAGAUCCCCCACACUGGUACUGAGACACGGACCAGACUCCUACGGGAGGCAGCAGUGAGGAAUAUUGGACAAUGGGCGAGAGCCUGAUCCAGCCAUGCCGCGUGCAGGAAGACUGCCCUAUGGGUUGUAAACUGCUUUUACAGAGGAAGAACCACCCCCACGUGUGGGGGUUUGACGGUACUCUGCGAAUAAGGAUCGGCUAACUCCGUGCCAGCAGCCGCGGUAAUACGGAGGAUCCAAGCGUUAUCCGGAAUCAUUGGGUUUAAAGGGUCCGUAGGCGGGCAGUUAAGUCAGUGGUGAAAGUCUUCCGCUCAACGGGAGAACUGCCAUUGAUACUGAUUGUCUUGAGUUAUUAUGAAGUGGUUAGAAUGAGUAGUGUAGCGGUGAAAUGCAUAGAUAUUACUCAGAAUACCGAUUGCGAAGGCAGAUCACUAAUAAUAUACUGACGCUGAUGGACGAAAGCGUAGGUAGCGAACAGGAUUAGAUACCCUGGUAGUCUACGCCGUAAACGAUGGUUACUAGCUGUUCGGAUCGAUUGAGAUCUGAGUGGUUAAGCGAAAGUGAUAAGUAACCCACCUGGGGAGUACGUUCGCAAGAAUGAAACUCAAAGGAAUUGACGGGGGCCCGCACAAGCGGUGGAGCAUGUGGUUUAAUUCGAUGAUACGCGAGGAACCUUACCAGGGCUUAAAUGUAGUCUGACAGGGGUGGAAACACCCUUUU